Molecule: ribosomal RNA, 522 nt
Filed under: uncultured bacterium
Lineage: Bacteria
Description: partial 16S ribosomal RNA
Rfam family: Bacterial small subunit ribosomal RNA
Source: RNAcentral
UGGGGAAUAUUGCACAAUGGGCGCAAGCCUGAUGCAGCCAUGCCGCGUGUGUGAAGAAGGCCUUCGGGUUGUAAAGCACUUUCAGCGAGGAGGAAGGUGGUGAACUUAAUACGUUCAUCAAUUGACGUUACUCGCAGAAGAAGCACCGGCUAACUCCGUGCCAGCAGCCGCGGUAAUACGGAGGGUGCAAGCGUUAAUCGGAAUUACUGGGCGUAAAGCGCACGCAGGCGGUUUGUUAAGUCAGAUGUGAAAUCCCCGGGCUCAACCUGGGAACUGCAUUUGAAACUGGCAAGCUAGAGUCUCGUAGAGGGGGGUAGAAUUCCAGGUGUAGCGGUGAAAUGCGUAGAGAUCUGGAGGAAUACCGGUGGCGAAGGCGGCCCCCUGGACGAAGACUGACGCUCAGGUGCGAAAGCGUGGGGAGCAAACAGAUUAGAUACCCUGGUAGUCCACGCUGUAAACGAUGUCGAUUUUGGAGGUUGUGCCCCUUGAGGCGUGGNUUCCGGAGCUAACGNGUUAAAUCGA